UGAGUAAUGUAUGGGGAUCUGCCUGAUGGCGGGGGAUAACUACUGGAAACGGUAGCUAAUACCGCAUAAUGUCUGCGGACCAAAGCGGGGGACCUCCGGGCCUCGCGCCAUCAGAUGAACCCAUAUGGGAUUAGCUUGUAGGUAAGGUAACGGCUUACCUAGGCGACGAUCCCUAGCUGGUCUGAGAGGAUGAUCAGCCACACUGGGACUGAGACACGGCCCAG
Molecule: ribosomal RNA, 224 nt
Filed under: uncultured bacterium
Lineage: Bacteria
Description: partial 16S ribosomal RNA
Rfam family: Bacterial small subunit ribosomal RNA
Source: RNAcentral